AGUGAACGCUGGCGGUAGGCCUAACACAUGCAAGUCGAACGGCAGCACAGUAAGAGCUUGCUCUUACGGUUGGCGAGUGGCGGACGGGUGAGGAAUACAUCGGAAUCUACUUUUUCGUGGGUGAUAACGUAGGGAAACUUACGCUAAUAGCGCAUACGACCUACGGGUGAAAGCAGUGGAUCUUCGCACCUUGCGCGAUUGAAUGAGCCGAUGUCGGAUUAGCUAGUUGGCGGGGUAAAGGCCCACCAAGGCGACGAUCCGUAGCUGGUCUGAGAGGAUGAUCAGCCACACUGGAACUGAGACACGGUCCAGACUCCUACGGGAGGCAGCAGUGGGGAAUAUUGGACAAUGGGCGCAAGCCUGAUCCAGCCAUACCGCGUGAGUGAAGAAGGCCUUCGGGUUGUAAAGCCCUUUUGUUGGGAAAGAAAAGCAGCAGGUUAAUACCCCGCUGUUCUGACGGUACCCAAAGAAUAAGCACCGGCUAACUUCGUG
RNAcentral lists this ribosomal RNA (492 nucleotides) under uncultured bacterium. RNAcentral describes it as "partial 16S ribosomal RNA". It matches the Rfam family "Bacterial small subunit ribosomal RNA", at positions 29 to 507 of the family's 1533-position model. The record is from RNAcentral.